RNAcentral lists this long non-coding RNA (328 nucleotides) under Musa acuminata (dwarf banana). Its description in RNAcentral is "long non-coding RNA (MACU_LNC001670)". Lineage: Eukaryota; Viridiplantae; Streptophyta; Magnoliopsida; Zingiberales; Musaceae. The record is from RNAcentral.
GCUUGCUUAUUUGCCUCAUAAGCUGUUCCUCCAAACCCCUGUCAAACUUGGCCGCCCCCUCUAUCUCCUGCCAUGGCCGCUGCCGUCACUUUCGCCGCCCCCGCUCUCCCCUCCCUCCACUCCUCGUCCUGUUCUCUACCUCCUCUCACUCACCGCUCUCUCUCCUUCGUCGCCUUUACCUCCCCGACCAUCACUAAGCUCUCCUUUCAUCGUUCCUCGAGACGCUUCUCUUCUGCUCCCUCCACUUCCGUCUUCUCCAUCAAAGCUGCCGCUGCUGCCGCCGACAAGAAGCGGGUCCUCGUCGUCAACACUAACAGCGGCGGGCACG